UACGGGGGGGGCAAGCGUUGUUCGGAAUUACUGGGCGUAAAGGGCGCGUAGGCGGUUCGCUAAGUUGGAUGUGAAAACUCUGGGCUCAACCCAGAGCCUGCAUCCAAAACUGGCGGGCUAGAGUUCUGGAGGGGGUAGCGGAAUUCCUGGUGUAGCGGUGAAAUGCGUAGAUAUCUGGAGGAACACCGGUGGCGAAGGCGGCAUCCUGGACCAACACUGACACUGAGGAGCGAAAGCCAGGGGAGCAAACGGG
Molecule: ribosomal RNA, 253 nt
Filed under: uncultured bacterium
Lineage: Bacteria
Description: partial 16S ribosomal RNA
Rfam family: Bacterial small subunit ribosomal RNA
Source: RNAcentral